This 497-nucleotide ribosomal RNA is filed under the name uncultured bacterium. RNAcentral describes it as "partial 16S ribosomal RNA". It matches the Rfam family "Bacterial small subunit ribosomal RNA", at positions 28 to 507 of the family's 1533-position model. The record is from RNAcentral.
GAUGAACGCUGGCGGCGUGCCUAAUACAUGCAAGUCGAGCGAACGGACGAGAAGCUUGCUUCUCUGAUGUUAGCGGCGGACGGGUGAGUAACACGUGGAUAACCUACCUAUAAGACUGGGAUAACUUCGGGAAACCGUAGCUAAUACCGGAUGAUAUUUUGAACCGCAUGGUUCAAAAGUGAAAGACGGUCUUGCUGUCACUUAUAGAUGGAUCCGCGCUGCAUUAGCUAGUUGGUAAGGUAACGGCUUACCAAGGCAACGAUGCAUAGCCGACCUGAGAGGGUGAUCGGCCACACUGGAACUGAGACACGGUCCAGACUCCUACGGGAGGCAGCAGUAGGGAAUCUUCCGCAAUGGGCGAAAGCCUGACGGAGCAACGCCGCGUGAGUGAUGAAGGUCUUCGGAUCGUAAAACUCUGUUAUUAGGGAAGAACAUAUGUGUAUGUAACUGUGCACAUCUUGACGGUACCUAAUCAGAAAGCCACGGCUAACUACGUG